AGUGAACGCUGGCGGUAGGCCUAACACAUGCAAGUCGAACGGCAGCACAGUAAGAGCUUGCUCUUACGGGUGGCGAGUGGCGGACGGGUGAGGAAUACAUCGGAAUCUACUUUUUCGUGGGGGAUAACGUAGGGAAACUUACGCUAAUACCGCAUACGACCUACGGGUGAAAGCAGGAGAUCUUCGGACCUUGCGCGAUUGAAUGAGCCGAUGUCGGAUUAGCUAGUUGGCGGGGUAAAGGCCCACCAAGGCGACGCUCCGUAGCUGGUCUGAGAGGAUGAUCAGCCACACUGGAACUGAGACACGGUCCAGACUCCUACGGGAGGCAGCAGUGGGGAAUAUUGGACAAUGGGCGCAAGCCUGAUCCAGCCAUACCGCGUGGGUGAAGAAGGCCUUCGGGUUGUAAAGCCCUUUUGUUGGGAAAGAAAAGCAGCAGGUUAAUACCCCGCUGUUCUGACGGUACCCAAAGAAUAAGCACCGGCUAACUUCGUG
RNAcentral lists this ribosomal RNA (492 nucleotides) under uncultured bacterium. RNAcentral describes it as "partial 16S ribosomal RNA". It matches the Rfam family "Bacterial small subunit ribosomal RNA", at positions 29 to 507 of the family's 1533-position model. The record is from RNAcentral.